RNAcentral lists this ribosomal RNA (500 nucleotides) under uncultured bacterium. RNAcentral's name for it is "partial 16S ribosomal RNA". It matches the Rfam family "Bacterial small subunit ribosomal RNA", at positions 29 to 523 of the family's 1533-position model. The record is from RNAcentral.
AUUGAGCGCUGGCGGCAUGCCUUACACAUGCAAGUCGAACGGCAGCGCGGACUUCGGUCUGGCGGCGAGUGGCGAACGGGUGAGUAAUACAUCGGAACGUACCCUGUUGUGGGGGAUAACUAGUCGAAAGAUUAGCUAAUACCGCAUACGACCUGAGGGUGAAAGUGGGGGACCGCAAGGCCUCACGCAGCAGGAGCGGCCGAUGUCUGAGUAGCUAGUUGGUGGGGUAAAGGCCCACCAAGGCGACGAACAGUAGCUGGUCUGAGAGGACGAUCAGCCACACUGGGACUGAGACACGGCCCAGACUCCUACGGGAGGCAGCAGUGGGGAAUUUUGGACAAUGGGGGCAACCCUGAUCCAGCAAUGCCGCGUGUGUGAAGAAGGCCUUCGGGUUGUAAAGCACUUUUGUCCGGAAAGAAAUCGCGCUGGUUAAUACCUGGCGUGGAUGACGGUACCGGAAGAAUAAGCACCGGCUAACUACGUGCCAGCCGCCGCGGUAA